This 900-nucleotide ribosomal RNA is filed under the name Rhopalostroma indicum. RNAcentral's name for it is "LSU rRNA". It matches the Rfam family "Eukaryotic large subunit ribosomal RNA", at positions 38 to 965 of the family's 3401-position model. The record is from RNAcentral. Lineage: Eukaryota; Fungi; Ascomycota; Sordariomycetes; Xylariales; Hypoxylaceae.
GCAUAUCAAUAAGCGGAGGAAAAGAAACCAACAGGGAUUGCCCUAGUAACGGCGAGUGAAGCGGCAACAGCUCAAAUUUGAAAUCUGGCCCUAGCGGUCCGAGUUGUAAUUUGUAGAGGAUGCUUUUGGUGAGGUGCCUUCCGAGUUCCCUGGAACGGGACGCCGGAGAGGGUGAGAGCCCCGUACGGUUGGACGCCAAACCUCUGUAUAGCUCCUUCGACGAGUCGAGUAGUUUGGGAAUGCUGCUCUAAAUGGGAGGUAAAUUUCUUCUAAAGCUAAAUACCGGCCAGAGACCGAUAGCGCACAAGUAGAGUGAUCGAAAGAUGAAAAGCACUUUGAAAAGAGGGUUAAAUAGCACGUGAAAUUGUUGAAAGGGAAGCGUUUGCGACCAGACUUUUUCCAGGCGGAUCAUCCGGCGUUCUCGCCGGUGCACUCCGCCUGGUUGAGGCCAGCAUCGGUUUCCUUAGGGGGAUAAAGGCCUGGGGAACGUAGCUCCUUCGGGAGUGUUAUAGCCCCUGGCGUAAUACCCCUCGGGGGACCGAGGAACGCGCUCUGCAAGGAUGCUGGCGUAAUGGUCGUCAACGACCCGUCUUGAAACACGGACCAAGGAGUCGAACAUUUGUGCGAGUGUUUGGGUGUCAAACCCUCACGCGUAAUGAAAGUGAACGGAGGUGAGAGCCCUUACGGGUGCAUCAUCGACCGAUCCUGAUGUCUUCGGAUGGAUUUGAGUAAGAGCAUAACUGUUCGGACCCGAAAGAUGGUGAACUAUGCGUGGAUAGGGUGAAGCCAGAGGAAACUCUGGUGGAGGCUCGCAGCGGUUCUGACGUGCAAAUCGAUCGUCAAAUCUGCGCAUGGGGGCGAAAGACUUAUCGAACCAUCUAGUAGCUGGUUACCGCCGAA